This 245-nucleotide ribosomal RNA is filed under the name uncultured bacterium. Its description in RNAcentral is "partial 16S ribosomal RNA". It matches the Rfam family "Bacterial small subunit ribosomal RNA", at positions 524 to 766 of the family's 1533-position model. The record is from RNAcentral.
UACAGAGGGUGCAAGCGUUAUCCGGAUUUAUUGGGCGUAAAGCGUUUCGUAGGCGAUUUGGUAAGUUACACUUCAAAUUCCAGGGCUUAACCUUGGGCAGGGGUGUAAUACUGUCAAAAUUGAGAAAUUUCGGGGUUUAUCGGAACUCUCGGUGUAGGGGUGAAAUCCGUUGAUAUCGAGAGGAACACCAAGGGCGAAGGCGGAUAACUAGGAAUUUUCUGACGCUGAGGAACGAAAGCUAGGGG